This 286-nucleotide ribosomal RNA is filed under the name uncultured bacterium. RNAcentral describes it as "partial 16S ribosomal RNA". It matches the Rfam family "Bacterial small subunit ribosomal RNA", at positions 333 to 616 of the family's 1533-position model. The record is from RNAcentral.
UGUUGCCUACGGGACGCAGCAGUGAGGAAUAUUGGUCAAUGGGCGCAGGCCUGAACCAGCCAAGUAGCGUGAAGGAUGACUGCCCUAUGGGUUGUAAACUUCUUUUAUAUGGGAAUAAGGUUUUCCACGUGUGGAAUUUUGUAUGUACCAUAUGAAUAAGGAUCGGCUAACUCCGUGCCAGCAGCCGCGGUAAUACGGAGGAUCCGAGCGUUAUCCGGAUUCAUUGGGUUUAAAUGGAGCGUAGGUGGACAGUUAAGUCAGUUGUGAAGGUUUGCGGCUCAACAGU